AAACGACUCUCGGCAACGGAUAUCUUGGCUCACGCAUCGAUGAAGAACGUAGCAAAAUGCGAUACUUGGUGUGAAUUGCAGAAUCCCGUGAACCAUCGAGUUUUUGAACGCAAGUUGCGCCCAAAGCCGUUUGGCCGAGGGCACGUCUGCCUGGGCGUCAC
Molecule: ribosomal RNA, 161 nt
Filed under: Scorzonera purpurea
Lineage: Eukaryota; Viridiplantae; Streptophyta; Magnoliopsida; Asterales; Asteraceae
Description: 5.8S ribosomal RNA
Rfam family: 5.8S ribosomal RNA
About the family: 5.8S ribosomal RNA (5.8S rRNA) is a component of the large subunit of the eukaryotic ribosome. It is transcribed by RNA polymerase I as part of the 45S precursor that also contains 18S and 28S rRNA.
Source: RNAcentral